Molecule: ribosomal RNA, 897 nt
Filed under: Dentocorticium sulphurellum
Lineage: Eukaryota; Fungi; Basidiomycota; Agaricomycetes; Polyporales; Polyporaceae
Description: eukaryotic LSU rRNA
Rfam family: Eukaryotic large subunit ribosomal RNA
Source: RNAcentral
AACUAACAAGGAUUCCCCUAGUAACUGCGAGUGAAGCGGGAUGAGCUCAAAUUUAAAAUCUGGCGGUCUUUGGCCGUCCGAGUUGUAGUCUGGAGAAGUGCUUUCCGUGCCGGACCGUGUACAAGUCUCUUGGAACAGAGCGUCAUAGAGGGUGAGAAUCCCGUCUUUGACACGGACUACCGGUGCUUUGUGAUGCGCUCUCAAAGAGUCGAGUUGUUUGGGAAUGCAGCUCAAAAUGGGUGGUGAAUUCCAUCUAAAGCUAAAUAUUGGCGAGAGACCGAUAGCGAACAAGUACCGUGAGGGAAAGAUGAAAAGCACUUUGGAAAGAGAGUUAAACAGUACGUGAAAUUGCUGAAAGGGAAACGCUUGAAGUCAGUCGCGUCGUCCGGAACUCAGCCUUGCUUAUGCUUGGUGCAUUUUCCGGUUGACGGCCAGCAUCGAUUUUGAUCGUCGGAAAAUGGCUUGAGGAAUGUGGCACCUUCGGGUGUGUUAUAGCCUCUUGUCGCAUACGUCGGUUGGGAUCGAGGUUCGCAGCGCGCCUUUAUGGUCGGGGUUUAUCCACGUUCGCGCUUAGGAUUGCUGGCGUAAUGGCUUUAAACGACCCGUCUUGAAACACGGACCAAGGAGUCUAACAUGCCUGCGAGUGUUUGGGUGGAAAACCCGAGCGCGUAAUGAAAGUGAAAGUUGAGACCUCUGUCGUGGAGGGCAUCGACGCCCGGCGCUGACGUUUACUGAAGCUGCCGCGGUAGAGCAUGUAUGUUGGGACCCGAAAGAUGGUGAACUAUGCCUGAAUAGGGUGAAGCCAGAGGAAACUCUGGUGGAGGCUCGUAGCGAUUCUGACGUGCAAAUCGAUCGUCAAAUUUGGGUAUAGGGGCGAAAGACUAAUCGAACCAUCUA